RNAcentral lists this ribosomal RNA (149 nucleotides) under Mycoplasma coccoides. RNAcentral's name for it is "partial 16S ribosomal RNA". It matches the Rfam family "Bacterial small subunit ribosomal RNA", at positions 374 to 539 of the family's 1533-position model. The record is from RNAcentral. Lineage: Bacteria; Bacillati; Mycoplasmatota; Mollicutes; Mycoplasmatales; Mycoplasmataceae.
UACGAAAGUCUGAUGGAGCAAUGCCAUGUGAACGAUGAAGGUCAUUUUGAUUGUAAAGUUCUUUUAGGGGGGAAAAUAAUGAUGGUACCUCCUGAAUAAGUGACAGCAAACUAUGUGCCAGCAGCUGCGGUAAUACAUAGGUCGCAAGC